RNAcentral lists this transfer RNA (86 nucleotides) under Grosmannia clavigera kw1407. It matches the Rfam family "tRNA". Rfam says of the family: Transfer RNA (tRNA) molecules are approximately 80 nucleotides in length. Their secondary structure includes four short double-helical elements and three loops (D, anti-codon, and T loops). Lineage: Eukaryota; Fungi; Ascomycota; Sordariomycetes; Ophiostomatales; Ophiostomataceae. The record is from Rfam by way of RNAcentral.
UCCCCCGUGGCGCAAUUGGAUAGCGCGUUAGACUGUUAACAUCAGUAGCCAUCUAAAGGUUGGUGGUUCAAACCCACCCGGGGGAG